This 3349-nucleotide long non-coding RNA is filed under the name Olea europaea subsp. europaea. Lineage: Eukaryota; Viridiplantae; Streptophyta; Magnoliopsida; Lamiales; Oleaceae. The record is from RNAcentral.
CAUUAACCUAAAAUUCCCAAAAUCUGAACUUCAGUCCGGGGCUGCUCUGCUCGUCGUCGAACUAUCGAAGUCUCGUCUCUCCACCAGUCCGCCUCCUCAAGUCCACCGCCGAACGCUCCCCCCGCCAGUUCGCUCCACGCCUCCACCUCCGCUGGGGUUAGAAAUUUUAUUAGAUUGAGAAUUUUAUGGCAAAGUGGACCGCUCUCCCCGUCCGUCCGCUCCACGCCUCCACCUCCGCUGGGGUUAGAAAUUUUAUUAGAAUGAGAAUUUUAGGGCAAAGUAAAUUAUUUGUAAUCCCAUUGAAAUUGAAACUUAAUGGCUUAAAUUUACACCAUAAGCUCUCCCAUGUUCUUUGUCAUCUGGCCAACCUCAUUAUUUGUCCCGUUGAUGACUUAAACCAAUGAUACUCCCUGAACAAGUUUAAUUUUAGUAAUAGCAACUUUGUGUGUUCUUUGGGAUAUGAUUCACCCCCAUAUUGAUAUGAUAUUUGAAGGAGAUUUAUGGAUGUUUACUUUAAAUAAUAUGAAUAAGUCAAAAUGAAAUCCUGCAUGUAGGUUCUGCUUGAAGGCUAUAGCUGAUAUCACACGAGAGCUUUCUAGUUAACCGUGAAAGUAGCUUUCUACAUUUUUCCUUUUGUUUGCAAAAAUGGGAAAGUGUCCAUUGCUUAGUUUUGGAGGAGUUCUAUAAUCACGGUAGUAAUGGUUUUUUGUUCCUUUUAUAUAUCUGAAUACUGAAAAGAUUUUUGGUGCACUGUACUGGUCUUUAAUCUACACUUAGAAAGUCGUUAAAAUGUGCAUAAUUGGUUUUGUUGGAGCUUGGAAUGCACUGUACUCAUUAGUGUUGAACUGUACUGACAGUUUAUAUUUUUGCUUGUUGAAUUGCUUAGUUUCCUUAGGAGAAAGGGUUAUUCUUGAUAUGCUCAGAUGUUUCUCUAUGGACUAUAUUUGAAACACAUUAUCCAAUUGUUGCUAUCAUUUUUGUUCUUACUUGUUCUUUCUAGUUGUUUUAUUCCCCUGUAUUUAUGUUAAAGGCUUGAACUAAAAUUCAUUUUUCUCUUUUGUAGUGAGGACUUCAAAAGUUUCAGGAACACAGCUAUCUUAUUCAAGUAGAUCGAGAUGUCAUAGUCAUGGUGGGGGUCGUGCUCGGAUAAACCUUUUUGAUUGAUUUGCAAGAGUUGUCAAGGUUGUUUGGGACUGUUGGCUUCAGUCAGAAAUCAUUGAAAUGUUAUUGACUCUAUAUCAUCUGUUUUAAGUGUUGUCAUAUGAAAUCCAGAAUGAUCAAUACGCUAAUGUCAUAUGCAUAUGCAAAUCCUUUUUUUCAGAAUUUAUUUGGUUGUGUUUAAAGAAUUACAGUUUACUCACAAUCAAUGGCAGACCCUAUCCAACUAAUCCAAGUUAACAUUUUCACUUUUUCAGGCCCUUGAAGUAUAGCAGAAGCUAGAAUGGAAUAUGAGAUUCAGAUUGGAUCCCGUAUUUCAAGAAUUAGUCAAGUCAAUAGUGUAAGUUGUCGCUUUUAGACUUGUUCUACUCCCAAGUGGGCCUCUUCACAGUAAUCAAAAUUCUUUUGUUUAGACUUAAUAGAGGUUCCAAGCCAUCGUUUUCUCUGGACAAGGGAACUGCUUGGCGAAGGAACUCCACAAGGAAGAAGAUAUCUUCUUCUUGAAGUACGACUGAAGUUCUGUUGUCCCACUUGAAAAAUAAAAUGUAAAUCGAUUUAGGGACAUGAACUUUAAAAAUUGAUUGAGUGAACAAGUUGUCAUUAUGACUUAUGACUUAUGUGUUAAUGCCUAAAUAUGAUUUAAGAUGCAGUAAAAUUUCUUUAUCAACUUCUUACUCCAUUUCAGUAAAUAUACAACUUUCUUGCCUUCUCAUUCUUCUUUCUAUUAUUGUAAACUGGAUCUAUGUAUUUUCACCUCGAUUAGUUUCUUUAUCAAUUUCUGUUAUUGUAAAAUGCAAUCUCUUUACUGACCCCCAAAUCAGUCCAUCUUAUUUCAAAUGCAUAAUGGUGUUAGUUUAUGAGCCCCAAAUUUGAGAUUUUUCCUUUCUGAGAAGCUUCAUUUGGGUACUUAUUAAAUGUGCAAGAAUCUUCUAAGGAAGCUUCUUGUACUGCAUGUUGUUCUUAACUAAACCCUGGUCCUAGGAGUUAAAUCCUGCUAUGUUUCUGGCGUAAUUUUGUGCUAAUGUCCUCAUUGCUUGGAAUCAACUAUGAGCUUUUAUACCACUGUUGAUUGCUUCCCCAUUUGGUCUUGCCUUAACAAAUGUAAGCAUCCUUGUAAUUUGUCUUGUAACAGCUGAAGAAAUUGUCAUGGUAGUAUCUUGUAGCUGAUCUUGACGUUGACAUGAUCAAAAGAGACAUCGAUCUUAGUCUUCAGAGUUUUAAGAAACAAAGAAUCUUUGUUGUCGACUCCAAACCUUUUAUCUCAAUACUCUGAUUUCUUUAGUUUUGAACGUUCACCAAUUCUGAUUAAGACCUUGAGCAAGUACUAUUAAAUGGAUCAUGAUUAUCUUUUUCAAUCCAGUCAAUAUACUUCAUUAUAUGUUUCUUUAAUGUAUUGCUUAUGAUAUUGGUAGGAAAUGACAACAGAUCCCUUAAAUCAAGUGAAGCUGGGAUUUGUUAGUGGACUUGUUGGUAGAGAAAAAUUUAUGGCUUUUGAAAGAAUUCUGUUUAGAGCAACCAGGGGAAAUGUGUUUCUUAAACUAGUGGGAAUGGAAGAUCCAGUGAUUGAUCCGGUGUCAGGAGAUAAUGUAAUAAUAGAUGUUCUUUCACUAAUUCUGAAUUCUGGAUUUACGCAAUGAUGGAACUUUUGUAUAUCCCAUCAUGCAUGCUUCUUUUGAAAAUAGAAUUAUCGAAGUUCAGAAUCAAUUAUCUUCUUUUUGGUUUGUGUUGGCUUGUUGCUGAUGCAUAAUAAGAUGUAUUGUGUGAUAAACUCUAAUAUACAUGGGCAUCUAAACCAAUCUUCAACCCCUGCCUUAAAAAAAAAAAAAAAAAUUAGGAAAAAGGAGGAAAAAAAUGCUUAGUAAAAAUUAGUUUGUGUAUAUUGGAGUUUUUUGAUAUAGUUAUUUUCUUUGCUUUUCUUUUCGAUUAUAAUUGGUACAAAUGUCUAAAAUGUGGCUUAUCUUUAUCUCCAUUUUUUUAUAGGCUGGGACCGAUAUUUAAGGCAUAGGUCAUGUCGAAGAUUGUUGAGAAGAAAAUUAAGGAGGUCGAUAGGGUUGUUUCACUCACUACUUAGUGGUUUUUUUUUUUUUUUUUUUUUUGGGGAAAAUGUAUUGGAUUUUUAGGUGUUUUAGAAUUUUGGAUUUUGUACAAAUAUUGUUACAUUUUAGAGUUCAAUUAAUAAUUAUUAUUGGAG